Molecule: long non-coding RNA, 1514 nt
Organism: Solanum stenotomum
Lineage: Eukaryota; Viridiplantae; Streptophyta; Magnoliopsida; Solanales; Solanaceae
Exons: 3
Source: RefSeq, a predicted model, not a curated record
UGCAUAUGAUUUUCUCCAUUUUAAUGAACAACCACCAAGUUCAACGACCAAACCUUUUCAUCAACGACAAGACCAUCUCAUUCGGAGUGUCAUUGUUGCCUCUUUAUAUUCUGAUAUUGUUCCAUUUGUCAUUGAUGUCAAAUCUUUCUUUUAUCUUUGGAAAAAUCAAAAUGGAAACCUAUGCGAAGCCAUCACGUGCUCGUAUCAUGAGUCUUAAAGAGUCUCUAAGAAACUUGAAAAAGGGUAACCUCUCUAUUACUUCAUAUCUACAAAAGAUCAAACAAAAUCUGCAGCACUUUAGUCUUUGCUGGCAUCCAAGUUUCAGUGGAUGAGCUCUUCCUUCAUGCUCAUCGUGGAGUUCCAUCUGAAUAUGGCACUAUCACUUCAGCUCUAACAGGAUCAGUGAGCAUAGGUACGAGGAACUCAAAUCCUAUCUUAUUCCAUAUGGAUUUUGCCACUCUCAGCCAGAUUACCUCUUGUUUAUAUAUGCUAAAUCUAGAGUUAUGCUCUACCUCAUUGUAUAUGUUGAUGAGCUAAUUAUCACGGGUAAUCAUCAAUGUUCGGUGGAAGAUUUUAUUAGGUAUCUUGCUAAUCAUUUUUCUAUUAAAGUUAUUCAAGUUAAUAGCUUCAACCAUGUUGGCUCAGUUCAAGUUAUUCGCUCACCAUAUGGAAUCUUCUGAAGUCAGCAGAAGUAUAUCUAUGAGAUCUUAGACUGAGCCAACAUGGUUGAAACUAAUCCCAUGCACACACCAAUGGCACACAGAGCUUGUUCUAUGAGUAGUGAUGGCUCUUUACUUGAAGAUCCUAAAGAAUAUCGUUGUAUAGUUAGAAGUUUACAAUAUCUUCAUCUUACCAGACCGGAUGUUGCCUUUGUUGUUUGCAAAUUGUCUCAGUUUACAAGUGCUCCAACAACUACACACCAGACUAUGGUUAAACGAGCACUACAAAAAAAUGCAUACUUUGUGGAGGCUUAAUUGGGGAGGUCAGACUAACCUUCAGAAAUUAUGUCAAAUUCUGGGGGUUUAUUCAACCUGUGCAAUUUAAUUCAAUAUUGCGGCGGUUAUGCUCCGUUAGUUUAUUAGUAUUUACUAAAAAAAGCCAUUAUAAUGAAAAUGUGUGCCAGGGUUUGGAACUUUCUCUCUUUAUUUUUCCUCCCAAAAUUUUAGGUUCGCCGGGAAAAUGCUCUCAGAAUUUUCUCGCUCUCGGUCACUCCACAACAUCCAUUAGAUGAAGAGAAGAAGAGAAGUCUAGUGAUUUAUGUUCGCAGAAGAGAAGAGGAGCUCUCGUUAGGUGUUGAUUUUCCAUUAAAGAAGAGGAGAAGAUUGAUUGGAUUCUCUCUAAGCUCGCAAAUUUGCUCUUCCAUCGACGAAUAUUCUCAAAAUCGUCACAGGGAACUGAAGAAGCAAAGAGAAAUGGCAGCUGUAGCUAAGGAGGAAGAGAAGAAGGCGUAUAACUCUACUACCGAUGGUAUUGCAGUAUCAAUGGUGAUGAAGUAUUCUGACAAUAUUGUGAAG